This 767-nucleotide ribosomal RNA is filed under the name uncultured Enterobacteriaceae bacterium. RNAcentral's name for it is "SSU rRNA". It matches the Rfam family "Bacterial small subunit ribosomal RNA", at positions 80 to 843 of the family's 1533-position model. The record is from RNAcentral. Lineage: Bacteria; Pseudomonadati; Pseudomonadota; Gammaproteobacteria; Enterobacterales; Enterobacteriaceae.
GCUCUCGGGUGACGAGCGGCGGACGGGUGAGUAAUGUCUGGGAAACUGCCUGAUGGAGGGGGAUAACUACUGGAAACGGUAGCUAAUACCGCAUAACGUCGCAAGACCAAAGUGGGGGACCUUCGGGCCUCAUGCCAUCAGAUGUGCCCAGAUGGGAUUAGCUAGUAGGUGGGGUAAUGGCUCACCUAGGCGACGAUCCCUAGCUGGUCUGAGAGGAUGACCAGCCACACUGGAACUGAGACACGGUCCAGACUCCUACGGGAGGCAGCAGUGGGGAAUAUUGCACAAUGGGCGCAAGCCUGAUGCAGCCAUGCCGCGUGUGUGAAGAAGGCCUUCGGGUUGUAAAGCACUUUCAGCGGGGAGGAAGGCGUUAAGGUUAAUAACCUUGGCGAUUGACGUUACCCGCAGAAGAAGCACCGGCUAACUCCGUGCCAGCAGCCGCGGUAAUACGGAGGGUGCGAGCGUUAAUCGGAAUUACUGGGCGUAAAGCGCACGCAGGCGGUCUGUCAAGUCGGAUGUGAAAUCCCCGGGCUCAACCUGGGAACUGCAUUCGAAACUGGCAGGCUAGAGUCUUGUAGAGGGGGGUAGAAUUCCAGGUGUAGCGGUGAAAUGCGUAGAGAUCUGGAGGAAUACCGGUGGCGAAGGCGGCCCCCUGGACAAAGACUGACGCUCAGGUGCGAAAGCGUGGGGAGCAAACAGGAUUAGAUACCCUGGUAGUCCACGCCGUAAACGAUGUCGAUUUGGAGGUUGUGCCCUUGAGGCGUGGC